UGGCCCCGCCGGUGACACGUGCCGCCCGUGUCACGUGGGCCGCGGUGCUCCGGGCCGGGCCGGGCCGAGCGUCCGGAAUGUGCCCGGUGUGAGUGACCUCCGCCUCACAAAGGCUCUUCUGGCCUCGUCCGUCCUUGCCAGCCGGCGAGAAAGGCGGUUUAAUCCAGGUCUGAUCACUGAGGUGACCUCUCAGUGGUUUCCAGCUGUUGGAAUGGCACAUGCGGGACUGCCAUGUUCAGGGCGUGUUCCAACGGUCCCGGCCCAAGGGCAGGGUAACAAAGCUUGGGAGGAGGAUUCCCAGUGAUUCCCGCUGAUGGUGGGCACAGGGGAUGCAGGAUGUACAGGCCACAAGGACAUACGGCACAACUGCCAGGAUAAGGAAGAACCUGAUAAAAAGAACUGGCCAGCUGUGCUGGGUCAGCUCCCACUGGGAAAGAAGAAAUCCAGAAGGAGCAGAUGGCGACCGAACCCAAGAAGCCUGCGACCCAAAAGCAGAGGAACACUGGGAACCAGCCUGAGAAGCCAGAGAACCAUUAACGAGGAGACAGAACGCUAAUUAAUCAGGGAACUGUGUAGCUUGCAGCCAGUGAACGUUAGCGCCCUGGUUCGGUGAAUGUAUAAACAGUGACAAGUUUUGGAGUCUGCGCUGGCUUUGGGAUCUGCCACCCACUCCCCCCUGUGUGCAGAGCUGGAAAUAAAUCCCGUAACUCUGUGAUAUUCCAUGGAAAAGAACCCGAGAUGUUGUCUAAGUGAAAUGAGAUCCUCAGCCCCGGAGCUCGCUGCCCAUAAAUCUGGAACCAGGAUUACGCCGGUGCUGGGAAUGGCAGUGUGGAUAAGAACAGCAAAUACUUUAUUUUGGUCUGUCCAAUAAUCCUCCUGAUGCAGAAACAGACAAAAAAUUAAUCCAAAACACUCUGAUCUCUGUGCUGUUAAAAAGAUGGUCGUGAAACAGCCUGAAAUUUUACUGUUCAGAUUAAUUUCAUGUACAGUUUUGACACAUUAAUCAACUAUGUUUUAUCUGAAUUCUCAAAAAGCAAAUUAAUGCAAAAUAAGAUAUUAACAUCUCCAUUUACUGUCUUUUCCUAUAGACUAAAACACUUGUGAAGAAAACAAAGAAAAAGAUAUAAAACUAUACAUUUCCAUAAACACAUUCUAGUUGAUAUAAAUUGUGUGAGUGGAGAAAAUAAAGUCUAAUUCUGUUUUUUUCUCUGACAUUUUAACCUGACAGAAACCCAGUG
This is a long non-coding RNA of Corvus hawaiiensis (hawaiian crow), 1238 nucleotides long. RefSeq lists it as uncharacterized. The transcript is spliced from 2 exons. Lineage: Eukaryota; Metazoa; Chordata; Aves; Passeriformes; Corvidae. The record is from RefSeq and is a predicted model, not a curated record.